AGGUGAACCUGCGGAAGGAUCAUUAUCGAGUUUUGACUGGGUUGUAGCUGGCCUUCCGAGGCAUGUGCACGCCCUGCUCAUCCACUCUACACCUGUGCACUUACUGUGGGCUUCAGAUCGUAAAACGGGUCCCUUUACCGGGCUUGCGGAGCGUGUCUGUGCCUGCGUUUAUCACAAACUCUAUAAAGUAUCAGAAUGUGUAUUGCGAUGUAACGCAUCUAUAUACAACUUUCAGCAACGGAUCUCUUGGCUCUCGCAUCGAUGAAGAACGCAGCGAAAUGCGAUAAGUAAUGUGAAUUGCAGAAUUCAGUGAAUCAUCGAAUCUUUGAACGCACCUUGCGCUCCUUGGUAUUCCGAGGAGCAUGCCUGUUUGAGUGUCAUGAAAUCUUCAACCUGCAAGCUUUUGUGGUUUGUAGGCUUGGACUUGGAGGCUUGUCGGCCGUUGUUGGUCGGCUCCUCUUAAAUGCAUUAGCUUGGUUCCUUGCGGAUCGGCUCUCAGUGUGAUAAUGUCUACGCUGCGACCGUGAAGUGUUUGGCGAGCUUCUAACCGUCUCAGUUGGAGACAACUUUAUGACCUCUGACCUCAAAUCAGGUAGGACUACCCGCUGAACUUAAGCAUAUCAAUAAGCGGAGGAAAAGAA
This 641-nucleotide ribosomal RNA is filed under the name Ganoderma sp. BAB-4085. RNAcentral describes it as "eukaryotic LSU rRNA". The stretch from base 227 to 380 matches the Rfam family "5.8S ribosomal RNA". The record is from RNAcentral. Lineage: Eukaryota; Fungi; Basidiomycota; Agaricomycetes; Polyporales; Polyporaceae.